RNAcentral lists this ribosomal RNA (1479 nucleotides) under metagenome. Its description in RNAcentral is "bacterial LSU rRNA". It matches the Rfam family "Bacterial large subunit ribosomal RNA", at positions 1456 to 2925 of the family's 2925-position model. The record is from RNAcentral.
CUCAAGCGAUGGGGUGACGCAGGAAGGUAGCUGGGCCAGUCAGUGGUUGUACUGGUGUAAGAGUGUAGGCCGUGACAUAGGCAAAUCCGUGUCACAUUAAGGCUGAGACUUGAUGCAUACCCGUUGUGGGGAAUUCAGUGAUCCUAUGCUGCCGAGAAAAGCCUCUAGUGAGUUCAUACACGGCCCGUACCCCAAACCGACACAGGUGAUCAGGUAGAGAAUACCAAGGCGAUCGAGAGAACUGUGGUUAAGGAACUCGGCAAAAUGCCCCCGUAACUUCGGGAGAAGGGGGACCAUGCCCGGUGAACAUCUUCACGGUGGGAGCUGGGUGUGGUCGCAGAGACCAGAGAGAAGCGACUGUUUACUAAAAACACAGGUCCGUGCGAAGACGUAAGUCGAUGUAUACGGACUGACGCCUGCCCGGUGCUGGAAGGUUAAGAGGACCGGUUAGCCGUAAGGCGAAGCUGAGAAUUUAAGCCCCAGUAAACGGCGGUGGUAACUAUAACCAUCCUAAGGUAGCGAAAUUCCUUGUCGGGUAAGUUCCGACCUGCACGAAUGGCGUAACGACUUCUCUGCUGUCUCGACCACAGACUCGGCGAAAUUGCACUACGAGUAAAGAUGCUCGUUACGCGCGGCAGGACGAAAAGACCCCGGGACCUUUACUAUAGCUUGGUAUUGGCGUUCGAUUCGGUUUGUGUGGGAUAGGUGGGAGACUGUGAAGCAUGCACGCCAGUGUGUGUGGAGUCGUUGUUGAAAUACCACUCUGAUCGUAUUGGACGUCUAACCUCGGCCCAUGAUCUGGGUUAGGGACAGUGCCUGGUGGGUAGUUUAACUGGGGCGGUUGCCUCCUAAAGAGUAACGGAGGCGCCCAAAGGUUCCCUCAGCCUGGAUGGCAAUCAGGUGUUGAGUGCAAGUGCACAAGGGAGCUUGACUGUGAGACUGACACGUCGAGCAGGGACGAAAGUCGGGACUAGUGAUCCGGCACCGGCAAGUGGAAGCGGUGUCGCUCAACGGAUAAAAGGUACCCCGGGGAUAACAGGCUGAUCUUCCCCAAGAGUCCAUAUCGACGGGAUGGUUUGGCACCUCGAUGUCGGCUCGUCGCAUCCUGGGGCUGGAGUAGGUCCCAAGGGUUGGGCUGUUCGCCCAUUAAAGCGGCACGCGAGCUGGGUUUAGAACGUCGUGAGACAGCUCGGUCUCUAUCCGCCGCGCGCGUAAGAAACUUGAGGAAGGCUGUCCCUAGUACGAGAGGACCGGGACGGACGAACCUCUGGUGUGCCAGUUGUUCCACCAGGAGCAUGGCUGGUUAGCUACGUUCGGAAGGGAUAACCGCUGAAAGCAUCUAAGCGGGAAGCCUGUUCCAAGAUGAGGUUUCUCACCACCUUGCGUGGUUAAGGCCCCCUACAGACCAUGGGGUUGAUAGGCCGGAACUGGAAGCGCAGCAAUGCGUGGAGGUGACCGGUACUAAUAGGCCGAGGGCGU